This 26-nucleotide non-coding RNA is filed under the name Rattus norvegicus (Norway rat). Lineage: Eukaryota; Metazoa; Chordata; Mammalia; Rodentia; Muridae. The record is from RNAcentral.
UGAUGGUUGUGUUUGCUUGCUUGCUG